AUUACAAAAUAUCAAAAAUUGUCUUAACAUUUGAUAUUCGAGAAGAUGAAAAGAAAUGUAGAACUAUAAAUUUGUUGAGCAAACCAACAAAUGGCUUCAUGAUUAAAUUAUGGGCAUACUUUCGAAUGAACACGCUAAAUAUACGAUACGACUGCAGGUUAGUCACACAAUCUACAAAUACUUACAAACUUGGUUUGUUUAUAUACAUGUAUGGUGUAUCCAUAUUAUUUAUGUAUAGAUUAAAACUAAGUAAAAACAAUUUCCGAAUUCCAACACGUACCCAUAAAACGAUAAAGCGUCAUUCUCAUGGCACCAAAUAUUAAUAUCCAAGGAACCAAUAAAAUAUAAAGGAAAAAAAGUAGAGCUUUGUAAAUUGAUCAAGACACUCUAUUUAUUAUGAUCAAAAGAAAACAGAAGUUAUGCAAAAGGAAUGAUUUUUUUCUUACAGAGGUAUUCCCGAUUUUACCGAGAUUUGCGACUAGUUUUUCUUGGGCUUUCGGGGACAACAAAUUUAGGUAGAAUUUGUUUUUCCACCUCUUGUUCCUCUUCUUCAGAAAGCAUUUCAUCUUCCGGGAUGACAAAGUCAUGAUCAAUGUGACUUUUUCUAGGUGAUAAUUCUGCAUUUGGCGACAAAGAAGCUUCCAAAUUGCUUUCAUCAAACGCAUCGGCAUUUGCUUCCAAAUCAUUGUCCAUGUCAUCAUUUUCUGCUUCAUCAACUACCUCUAUAUCGUAGCCUGCUUCAUCCACAUCCUCAUCGAUGUAAUCGUUUUCCUCCUCUUCUUCUCCAUCUUCACUCGAAAAAUCAAGUCGACGUUGCCUCAUCUCUUCCUGAGAUAAAACCAUAUUUAAUUUUCCGGACAAAGAAAAAAUUUUAGUCAUUAAAUGAGCACUUUGUACAAGCUUUUCAUGUAACUGAACAAGUGAAUCCUGCAAAUCCAUGACGGUGGUCAAAUAUCCACCAUGUGUAACAAUAAUCCAAUGCAACCAAAUCGCAAGGGAUGGCUGCAUAUUUAUCAACAUGGCUGGGAUUAAAGUUCUAGCUAAAUCAGCCGCAAUAGUACCAUCCAUAUUGCGAACAGUGUUGGAUACAACACCAACAUCAGAGCAAUUCAAGCAUUGCUCCAGCAAAUCUUUCGAAUCUGCAUUUUCUUCAAAUUUGAUAAUAUUACCGGUUGUGGCAGCCAUGGUUGCCUUUCUACCGCAAUUUUACCUCCAACUGGUGGUGGGUUGAGGAUAGAAAUUUGGUGAAUACAAACUGUGCACUACUCUCAAAAUUUUACUCUCGUACAAUUCGAACUUCGCUACUUUAGCAAUAUUCCAAUAAUUUGAUAAAUGAAGAAAUUAUAGAUUACACUUUGUUAAGCCAUAUUAAACACAUGUACAAAAAAGAACAAGACUAAUCUAAUAAUGUAUAAAGGGAAUUUGUAUUAUACAGCGACCUAUCGGGUGUUAAAAAGAAAAGACGAAAGAGUGACAUGAAAAAAAUCUCGCUUGACAAACAGACAUCUCAAACAGGGUUUAUAAAUGGCUAUAUUACAGCUAGAAACCUUCCAAAAAAAAAAAGGACCACAAUAAUAGAAACUCCCGAAGCAAAAAAAAAAUCAUUAAUGACUUUCAUAUGCAAAUUUAAAAAACUCAAAAGUAUCGUUGUUGAAGAAGAUACGAAAGUAGUGAAUAGCAAUUAGGGAAAGGAAAAAUUCAAAGUCGUAAGGAAGUCUUCAAGAUUGAUUGCCUCACAAUGAAUGCCAUUAAAU
Molecule: non-coding RNA, 1754 nt
Organism: Schizosaccharomyces pombe (fission yeast)
Lineage: Eukaryota; Fungi; Ascomycota; Schizosaccharomycetes; Schizosaccharomycetales; Schizosaccharomycetaceae
Source: the annotation of a GenBank genome assembly